RNAcentral lists this ribosomal RNA (253 nucleotides) under uncultured bacterium. Its description in RNAcentral is "partial 16S ribosomal RNA". It matches the Rfam family "Bacterial small subunit ribosomal RNA", at positions 524 to 776 of the family's 1533-position model. The record is from RNAcentral.
UACGAAGGGGGCUAGCGGUGUUCGGAAUCACUGGGCGUAAAGAGCACGCAGGCGGAUCGAUAAGUCGGGGGUGAAAGCCCGGGGCUCAACCUCGGAAUUGCCUUCGAUACUGUCGGUCUCGAGUCCGGGAGAGGUGAGUGGAAUUCCUAGUGUAGAGGUGAAAUUCGUAGAUAUUAGGAAGAACACCAGUGGCGAAGGCGGCUCACUGGCCCGGUACUGACGCUCAGGUUCGAAAUCGUGUGGAGCAAACAGG